AUUGAACGCUGGCGGCAUGCCUUACACAUGCAAGUCGAACGGCAGCACGGACUUCGGUCUGGUGGCGAGUGGCGAACGGGUGAGUAAUGUAUCGGAACGUACCUUUCAGUGGGGGAUAACGUAGCGAAAGUUACGCUAAUACCGCAUAUUCUGUGAGCAGGAAAGCAGGGGAUCGCAAGACCUUGCGCUGAUUGAGCGGCCGAUAUCAGAUUAGCUAGUUGGUGGGGUAAAGGCCUACCAAGGCUACGAUCUGUAGCGGGUCUGAGAGGAUGAUCCGCCACACUGGAACUGAGACACGGUCCAGACUCCUACGGGAGGCAGCAGUGGGGAAUUUUGGACAAUGGGGGCAACCCUGAUCCAGCCAUGCCGCGUGAGUGAAGAGGGCCU
RNAcentral lists this ribosomal RNA (387 nucleotides) under uncultured bacterium. RNAcentral describes it as "bacterial SSU rRNA". It matches the Rfam family "Bacterial small subunit ribosomal RNA", at positions 30 to 417 of the family's 1533-position model. The record is from RNAcentral.